CGCGUAGGUGGUUUGUUAAGUUGGAUGUGAAAGCCCCGGGCUCAACCUGGGAACUGCAUCCAAAACUGGCAAGCUAGAGUACGGUAGAGGGUGGUGGAAUUUCCUGUGUAGCGGUGAAAUGCGUAGAUAUAGGAAGGAACACCAGUGGCGAAGGCGACCACCUGGACUGAUACUGACACUGAGGUGCGAAAGCGUGGGGAGUAAACA
This 207-nucleotide ribosomal RNA is filed under the name uncultured bacterium. RNAcentral's name for it is "partial 16S ribosomal RNA". It matches the Rfam family "Bacterial small subunit ribosomal RNA", at positions 568 to 774 of the family's 1533-position model. The record is from RNAcentral.